CCUACGGGGGGCAGCAGUGGGGAAUAUUGCACAAUGGGCGCAAGCCUGAUGCAGCCAUGCCGCGUGUGUAAAGAAGGCCUUCGGGUUGUAAAGCACUUUCAGCGGGGAAGAAGGCGGUGAGGUUAAUAACCUCAUCGAUUGACGUUACCCGCAGAAGAAGCACCGGCUAACUCCGUGCCAGCAGCCGCGGUAAUACGGAGGGUGCAAGCGUUAAUCGGAAUUACUGGGCGUAAAGCGCACGCAGGCGGUCUGUCAAGUCGGAUGUGAAAUCCCCGGGCUCAACCUGGGAACUGCAUUCGAAACGGGCAGGCUAGAGUCUUGUAGAGGGGGGUAGAAUUCCAGGUGGAGCGGUGAAAUGCGUAGAGAUCUGGAGGAAUACCGGUGGCGAAGGCGGCCCCCUGGACAAAGACUGACGCUCAGGUGCGAAAGCGCGGGGAGCAAACAGGAUUAGAUACCCGGGUAGUC
RNAcentral lists this ribosomal RNA (465 nucleotides) under uncultured Klebsiella sp. RNAcentral's name for it is "bacterial SSU rRNA". It matches the Rfam family "Bacterial small subunit ribosomal RNA", at positions 338 to 795 of the family's 1533-position model. Lineage: Bacteria; Pseudomonadati; Pseudomonadota; Gammaproteobacteria; Enterobacterales; Enterobacteriaceae. The record is from RNAcentral.